AGUGAACGCUGGCGGUAGGCCUAACACAUGCAAGUCGAACGGCAGCACAGUAAGAGCUUGCUCUUACGGGUGGCGAGUGGCGGACGGGUGAGGAAUACAUCGGAAUCUACUUUUUCGUGGGGGAUAACGUAGGGAAACUUACGCUAAUACCGCAUACGACCUACGGGUGAAAGCAGGGGAUCUUCGGACCUUGCGCGAUUGAAUGAGCCGAUGUCGGAUUAGCUAGUUGGCGGGGUAAAGGCCCACCAAGGCGACGAUCCGUAGCUGGUCUGAGAGGAUGUUCAGCCACACUGGAACUGAGACACGGUCCAGACUCCUACUGGAGGCAGCAGUGGGGAAUAUUGGACAAUGGGCGCAAGCCUGAUCCAGCCAUACCGCGUGGGUGAAGAAGGCCUUCGGGUUGUAAAGCCCUUUUGUUGGGAAAGAAAAGCAGCAGGUUAAUACCCCGCUGUUCUGACGGUACCCAAAGAAUAAGCACCGGCUAACUUCGUG
This 492-nucleotide ribosomal RNA is filed under the name uncultured bacterium. Its description in RNAcentral is "partial 16S ribosomal RNA". It matches the Rfam family "Bacterial small subunit ribosomal RNA", at positions 29 to 507 of the family's 1533-position model. The record is from RNAcentral.